CGAUUUACCUUUCCACUGCAAGGGCCUCUGCAUCUGCUCGGCUACCUGACCAUACUCGCCGGAACUCUGACCCUGGCUGGAGCCUGUAGCGUCCAGAACGACAUCUUGCGGCGAUUCUGCGAUGUCCACCAGGAACAUGUCAGGAUCAAAGUGAUCCUGGCUCGAGGAAGCGAAGCCAUGGAGAGACGGCUGGACGGUGUACGCGUCCAGUGACGAGGAGAGGUUCACGUGGCCGAAGCCGCUAGACGAUGCAACGCCCCAGCCAGUUCCGGUCCGGGCAUGUUGCCCCAGCAUCGCCGUGUUACCGAGAGGCCUGAACGCGGCGGCGGGAGCAAGGACCUGGCUGCGG
This 349-nucleotide long non-coding RNA is filed under the name Setaria italica (foxtail millet). RNAcentral describes it as "long non-coding RNA (SITA_LNC007259)". Lineage: Eukaryota; Viridiplantae; Streptophyta; Magnoliopsida; Poales; Poaceae. The record is from RNAcentral.